RNAcentral lists this long non-coding RNA (758 nucleotides) under Ananas comosus (pineapple). RNAcentral's name for it is "long non-coding RNA (ACOM_LNC023075)". Lineage: Eukaryota; Viridiplantae; Streptophyta; Magnoliopsida; Poales; Bromeliaceae. The record is from RNAcentral.
CUAACAUUACAAAUACGUACGUCCUUAAGGUUACUCUAAGGGUGCGUUUGGUUCGCGCUAUCUUUUUAAGAUUUCUAGUAAUCCAAUAGAAAUAAAAAAAUAUAACGGUGUUUGGACAAACGCAUUAAGUAAUCUAGUUGGUAAUAUUGGAUUUACUUGGGAAUGAGAUGCAUCACAGAGUGCUAAUCUCAUUCCUUUGAGAGGGGGUGGGUAUUCUUAUAUUAAUGAAUUGGGGUAAUUAUAAUAUGUCUAAUCUCUUUCUUUCUUCUUACCCGCCGGCUAGUUGGUAUUAUUUUUUUUACACUCUAAUCUCAUAUCUCUCUCUAAAUUUAUCUUUUUCUUUCUAAACUUCAACUCCUUUUCUCUCUCUAAACUAUGCUAUUUCUCCCCCUCUUUUUCUAAAAUCUCAACCUUCUCAUUCUUUCUAACCUCAGACUCUAUUUCUCUUCCUAUUUCUUUAAUUAUACUCUCUCUUUCUAACCUAUAUUCUCUCUUUUUUCUAAAAGGAUGUUGAAAUUUUUUAUAAUAUUAUUUAAAAUUAAUUAAGAAAAUAAAUUAACUAAUUGUAUAUUUUUCGUAAUCUUAAAUAGCAUGACUAAAUAAUAUGACCAUACAAACCAAACACCGAAAUAUUAUAUUCUUAGUAAUAGGAUUAAUAGGAAUAAGAUUCUCGCAUAUCUUUUUACUCCUAGUAAUCUUUCAUAGUGCGAACCAAACGCGCCCUAAUACCAAAAGUACAAUGCAUCACGUUUUUGUUA